AAAUUUUCAAGGUAAAUGACGACUCAGUUAUUAUUUACGACUUACGAGCUUACGACAGGUAAUAAAGAAUUUUGUGCUAGUCCUUUUGUUUAUCUUUACUGUUUCUUCGUGCCUAUAAGUAUCAGGACAUUACCGAUGAAUCUUCUCUUGAGCUUGGUAUGGAACCAUGCAUUGUAUUAUGUGAUGCCUCCAAAAAUGCUAUAAAAAUAUACCUGAACAAGAACCUGUUUCGGAAAAAUGUGACUCAUUUGAAGGAGCAUUGCAAUGCUUAAUUGCUCUUUAUUUUGUCUUCAAUUUGGAAUAUCCCAAAGAAGCAUCAUACAUUUUCGAGUUCCUUUAAAAUAUAUUUUAGAAAUACACCCCGAAGCAGGAACCAAAUCGAAAAAACAAAAUCUUUCGAAAAGAAAAGUUAUUUCAUAUUUAACGAAGUUAGCCAAGAUAGCAUAAUAAAUUAUUAUUUUAUUUAUGUAAAUCUUAAAUAACUUUGGUUUAAAACUGAUUUCUUAUAUUAAUUAAUAACUUAAUGUAUUAAUAUAACGACAAAGUAAAGUUUGGAACAAAUUCGUUUUAAAAUUGAAAGGUUUGAAAAAACAACGCUCGGACCCAUUUAUUUUUAUUUUUAGUAGCGCUUUUUUUGCCAAUGUAAACUUUCUAUACAGGGUUUGUCGUAUUUUUUACAACUAUUGGUGCAUAAUGACAUUUGGUCUGUAAAAAAAUACACAGUGGUCCGGAACACGGUAUAUGAUUUGAUGAACCAAAAUGUGUAAUUUUUUACCAAAAUUUGAAGCUGACCAAUGAAAAUGGUGGUAAUUUACUUUCAUAAUUUUGUCAGAGCAAACGAUGUAAGUACCGUAUCAAAUUCUAUAGUGAAAGCGACUAAUGUGCUACUCCUCAGGCAUUUCCCUUACCUUACUUUCCUAUUUAAAAUUUAAAUUUUAAUAUCUAUUUUUCGACUUAUAAUGUGAAAUAAAAUAUGGCAGCUGUCAAAAUUUUUGAGAAAUAUUUUUUACAAAUAUGAGAAAAUAAAUAUUCAAAAGUCAAAAUAGGAAAAUUCCGUUUUGCUCUAUUAUUAAUGACAUUACUGCUAUACAGCAUACAAAAAAUAUGAAAUGUCUGCCUGAUGUUUAACACCUUGUAACUUAAAAAUAGAAUGAAAGUAUAGCGCAUGUUAUACAGCAAAAUUCUUGGAAUAUAUUCCAAAAUGUAAUCACAUACAGGGUGUUCCAAUUUAGAUAAAAAAGUUGGUAUUGGCUGCGGUAACAUGACACACCCUGUAUAAGAAGUUUUAAUUGAAAAAAAAAAGCCUAGCAAAAAAUAAAAAUCGACGUGCCCGCGCGUUUCUUUUUUUAAGUCCAUAAAUGUUAAAUGAAUUUAUUCCAACCUUAAAGGGUUUUUUUUUGUGAGAUUUAGCUUGUAAGUAGGUACCUAUAUUAACAUAGUUGAUAUUAUAUGGGGCCCCAAAAUGUAUAUAGACUAUGUCAAAGUUCUUGGCUACUUCAAGAGUUUUAAGAGUUUAUUUUUUUGUUUGUAUAUUGAAGAGUUUAAGUUUCAAAUAUACUUGUUAUUUCCCUUUUUUUUUUUUUGAAAACUUACCAUGUAGUUUUGUUAUGUUCCUAUUGAAUUUCCAUUGAGUUUUGAAAAAAUAAAUCCUUUGUAGUUUUUUAAAUUGCCA
This 1672-nucleotide long non-coding RNA is filed under the name Anthonomus grandis grandis. Its description in RNAcentral is "uncharacterized LOC126733503". The record is from RNAcentral. Lineage: Eukaryota; Metazoa; Arthropoda; Insecta; Coleoptera; Curculionidae.